This is a long non-coding RNA of Hypanus sabinus (Atlantic stingray), 1757 nucleotides long. RefSeq lists it as uncharacterized. The record is from RefSeq and is a predicted model, not a curated record. The transcript is spliced from 3 exons. Lineage: Eukaryota; Metazoa; Chordata; Chondrichthyes; Myliobatiformes; Dasyatidae.
AUACCAGAAAGUGCUAGAUACACUCAGCAGCUCAGUUGGCACCAAUGGAGAGGGAAGGCAAAGCUUUAGAUGACCCCAAGGUCACUGCGGUCUCUCUUCAAUCCAUCACUCUGCACACAGGGACCCCAGCAUUGUCAACUGUGCGGCAAUCUCUUUGACUCCCUACCAUCAGGCAGGAGAUAUAUGGAAAACAGGUUGUACAACAAUACAGCGGGGGCCGGAACCAGAUGGUGAAACAGAGCCAAUCAGUGACCCUGCCGACCCCAAGGACGUGUUCAAAGCGACCUUGGCUUCACAUGUGCAGUCAAGAACCAUCUUUGGGGAUUAUGAGACCUCAAGUGAUUGGACAAUUGUGCUAACUCAAAUGGUAUAAAGGUAACUUGCAGAACACCAGCUCUAUCGUGAUUAACAUUCGAUUUCCAAUCUGAAUCCUUGUCAGCGUAAUUUUCAAAGUAACUAACAAAUUUCAAUAGAGAAUCAACCUAUGACAAACUCAAAAUGUAUACUAAGGCUAAAAGUAUUCCAAUUAGGAACACAAUUUCUUGUGCAAUGAAGCAACAUGUAUGACAGGUCACCAUGCUGGUUUAGUGGCAUCUAUGAAAAAGAGAUUCCAAGGCUGUUUGCAAUCCAUUGUGUAAUUCAUCACCCAGCUAAAAACCUCAGUCAGUGAAUUUGUUCAAGCAUGGCUCUUGUAAUAUCUGCACUCAACCAGUAAAUAGCAGAAUAUUUCACCAGUGAUGCCAAGAUAAUGAUGAAGAGUUUGGAUGCUUGCUUCUUCACACCGAACUGUUGGCUGUCAAAAGGUUGCUGCUUAGAACGUUUCUUCGAUCUUUUUGACACUGUGGUUGAUUUUUUUGCUCAAAGUCAACAAGAGCUUGGGAACAAGAUUGAAAUUCUACAUGGAGAUGUGGCAUUCCUAGCCGAUCUGUAUGGGAAAAUGAACAUUGUAAAUAUGAAACUGCGGGGCGAGAAUUUCAAUUUAAUCCAUGCAUAAAAGCCUACUUUUAUUGGAAGAUUGAAAAUAUAUAAAACAUUGGAAGAAUGUUCUCGCAGUUUCCCUGCAUAGAAAGUAUGCACAGACAGUGAUUUGCAAGAGUACUGCUUACACCUGCAGUCACUGAAGAAGGAUUUUCAGAAUCGACUCAAGGAUUUGAACAAUCUGGGAAUUCUGUACUGGGUAAUUAACCCAUUUCUUUGCAAGGUGGAAGAACAGGAAGAGGGCUUGCAAGAAGAAAUGAUCAAAAUUCAGAAAGAUGAAGAAGCGAAAAUGUUUUUCAAAAAUGUCGGCUUUUGGGGGUCCUGUCGGAGUCCGUGAUCUACAACUGUACACAAACUGUUGUUCUCCGUGGCAGCGGGGUCCUCUCUCAGAGCUCACCAAGUACACUCUUGUUUUUGGUGUUUCCAGGAGCAAGUUGGAAGACAUCCGCCUUCGGGGUGUGGCCUUGUGCAGCUCUGUAGACAACCCGAUUCCUUGCUGGUGUCACUGACUGAAGCUUUACGGGAGUUCGGAACAUCGACACAGCGUGUGCAGCUGUCAGAGGCCCUAGCACGUGGGAGAUCUCUGUCUCGAUGCUGAGAUACAGUUUGCUGUCGAUUAUCGAGUCAGUGAAGCUUGAAAUAAAGCAGUGCUGAAGACCGUAACUUGGAAACAGCGAGCUUUUGGUCUCGCUCUCGCUGUGGCAGGAAUGUCGGUGCGAGAGAGCCUGUGGGUGUCGAGCUGCUGGGUUUUGAUGAACUCCAGACCGUAGUCUCUGCUA